This is a long non-coding RNA of Miniopterus natalensis, 1366 nucleotides long. RefSeq lists it as uncharacterized. NCBI's taxonomy places the organism in Eukaryota, Metazoa, Chordata, Mammalia, Chiroptera, Miniopteridae. The record is from RefSeq and is a predicted model, not a curated record.
CCCAUGUGACGAAGGACCCAGUGUGACCCAGCCUCCCAGUUAGGCUGGCUGGCUUUGGCAAGUCUAUCUGCUCAGUGAAGGCUGAGAUUAAAUCAGUAUGUGCUAGCACUCGAGGCAUCGUGUAUUGGUUAAAAGCAGUUUCUGCAGGCUCGGUGUAAACCCUCUGUGAUUUACAAGGCACAGGAUGCCGGCCUGAACCAAAGCUAGUCUUGUGGUAUAAUGUGUGUCUGACACAACCGCCAAUUAGAAAAGCACCUACACCUUUCCUAGUUUAGUUUUUGAAGUUUUUUAAAAAAAUAAGCAUUUCACUUUUAGAAAUACUUGUGUAUUAGCAGUUGUAAAAAUGAAGUAUUUACAGUGUCAGUGUACAGCUAGAAAUAUACUUAUUCUAAAGACAAAGUAUUAUGUACGUUGUGAGUUGAGAAAAGUGUAUUUGCAUUAAUUUAAAAUAAGACUAGAAAGGCAAUCCAUUCUUUUUGAUGAGUUGUAGGCUUGUGUUACGGGCUAGUGAGAACCCUGGGAGCACCAUUCCUGCGGGCGGACUGCAGGUACUGAGUCCCAGGACUGUGAACUGCUUUUGGAAGCACCUUGGUUGGUUCGAGAACAGUGACUGCACAGACCAACCAGACAGAAAAUGAGAUCAGCAAAGUCUUAAAUAGAGGGCGCAGGAACGUGAAGGGGCAUGUAAACGCUCUUUCGUGAUACCCUUAAAAUGUGAUCCUAAAGGGAUGCCACUCAAAACAUUAUUUAAAAUAUGGGGGGGCAAAAGUAGGUGUACAGCUGUUUGCAUGGAAAAUAAUACGAUAACAACACAAGAGUAAACUGUUUUGCAUACUCACAACUGUGAACCCACUGCCCCAGCCCGCAGGUGUGUGGCCCUCCACCCGAAGGGAGGGCAGGUCGUCACGGGACGUAGGGAGUGGUACGUGCAGCGGAGAAUCCAGGAACAUGUGCCCCGGAGAACAGUGAGGGAGCCAUCUCUUAAGGUGGUUUGAAGAUAUUAAAGAAAUUGGAACUAGAAAACCCAGAGAAUUCAAGUUGGUUUUUUUUUUUAAGAUAAGUUAAACUCAACUCCUCUGAAUACACUUAAAAGUUGGUUGCACACACACAAAAUAAAAGGGGGAAAAAGGCAAAACAACAAGCAUUGAUUGCAGUUGUUAAACCCCAUGAUUAUAGUUUCUUGUAUCUCAAGUAAACUUUCCUCUGGUGCUAAGCAUGUUUAAUGAAGAACCUUUUGCUGGUGUUCUGAAUGUAAAUUUUGACGGGUUCAUAUGUUCUCUAAAUAUAACUACUAUUCUUUGUAAGCUAUUUAAAAUAAAUCUGCAAGUCUUUCCUCAUUCAAGUAAACACCAAUACUGUGGUCUUU